This 105-nucleotide microRNA precursor is filed under the name Canis lupus familiaris (dog). RNAcentral describes it as "mir-8834 microRNA precursor family". It matches the Rfam family "mir-8834 microRNA precursor family". Lineage: Eukaryota; Metazoa; Chordata; Mammalia; Carnivora; Canidae. RNAcentral also lists the same sequence under 1 other name. The record is from Rfam by way of RNAcentral.
AGGAGCAACAGCCCUAGUGGCGGGGCCAGCUCUGCAGCCCUGGAUUCAUCUCCGGCAGGAACUCCGGAGCUCUCGGUCUGCAGGGCCUGGAGGCUCCGGGCGGGG